This 253-nucleotide ribosomal RNA is filed under the name uncultured bacterium. RNAcentral's name for it is "partial 16S ribosomal RNA". It matches the Rfam family "Bacterial small subunit ribosomal RNA", at positions 524 to 776 of the family's 1533-position model. The record is from RNAcentral.
UACGGGGGGGGCAAGCGUUGUUCGGAAUUACUGGGCGUAAAGGGUUCGUAGGUGGCCAACUAAGUCAGACGUGAAAUCCCUCAGCUUAACUGGGGAACUGCGUCUGAUACUGGAUGGCUUGAGUUUGGGAGAGGGAUGCGGAAUUCCAGGUGUAGCGGUGAAAUGCGUAGAUAUCUGGAGGAACACCGGUGGCGAAGGCGGCAUCCUGGACCAACACUGACACUGAUGAGCGAAAGCCAGGGGAGCAAACGGG